GACGAACGCUGGCGGCGUGCUUAACACAUGCAAGUCGAACGAUAAGGCCUAGCUUGCUAGGGGGAUUAGUGGCGCACGGGUGAGUAAUACGUGAGUGACCUACCUUUGACUCUGUGGUAAGCCUUGGGAACUGUGUCGAAUACCGGAUACGACCAAUCUCCGCAUGGGGUGGUGGUGGAAAGCGUUAUGGAGUGGUUUUAGAUGGGCUCGCGGCCUAUCAGCUUGUUGGUGAGGUAAUGGCUUACCAAGGCGACGACGGGUAGCCGGCCUGAGAGGGUGACCGGCCACACUGGGACUGAGAUACGGCCCAGACUCCUACGGGAGGCAGCAGUGGGGAAUAUUGCACAAUGGGCGCAAGCCUGAUGCAGCGACGCCGCGUGCGGGAUGACGGCCUUCGGGUUGUAAACCGCUGUCAGCUUCGACGAAGCGAAAGUGACGGUAGGUGCAGAGAAAGCGCCGGCUAACUACGUG
Molecule: ribosomal RNA, 471 nt
Filed under: uncultured bacterium
Lineage: Bacteria
Description: partial 16S ribosomal RNA
Rfam family: Bacterial small subunit ribosomal RNA
Source: RNAcentral